GUGUUGUUAUGUUCUUUAAAUGCCAUUUAUUUUUCAUACAAACAAAACAAUCACAACACAGAAUACAAAAUAAAAUCAUUCAACAUGUUAUGACUCCAUAUAAAGAUGUAUGUUUAAUAUAAAUACAUUACUUAAAAUAUUAACAUCCUCUACGAAAACUGACUGCAAUGUGAAGGAAAUCACCUCAGUGUGUUUCUGGAAGAAAAUCAUCAACAAACUGAGGUCGUAUCAUACCCAUGCUUCUAAAAUAACCAGACUGGUUAUGAUACAGCCCCAGCUUUGAUGAUGGAUCAAUACGUAUCAGGUUAAUUGAUUAUCAGGUUUAUAUCAGCAAUGCAUCCUCCCCGGCUCCAACACAGAUUAUUGAUUAUCAGGUUAAUAUCAGCAGUGCAUCAGCCCGGGCUCCGACAGGGAUUAUUGAUUAUCAGGUUUAUAUCAGGAGUUUAUCCUCCUUGUCUUGUCAGAGUUUCAGAGAGAAAAACAAGUUGUUGUUAAGAGGGAAGUAGGUGAGGAGAUUUCACAUCAUAAUAAAAUAACUGGUACUAAAGAAGUCGUACAUUUAGACUGUAGAACUUACCUCGAAAACCACGGCCUGAUGAGAAGGAAACAUUUGUCUAUAAUCUCAAAAAGUCACAAUCUGAACGAGACAAAAACCUGAACAACAGAGUGAGCAAAUUAGCACAUGUUAACUCAGGUGUUUGUGUGUGUGUAGAGGGGGGGGGGGUUCUACUACUUCAUCUCCUACUUAGACCAAGACCAUAACCAGUAAUGAUGAAGACCAGAACCAAUUCCAAGACCGAAACCAGAAGGGAUGAAGACUAAAAAAGCCUCCAAGACUAUGAGGUGAUGAAGACCAGAACAGCCUCCAAGACCAAUACCAGAGGUGAUGAAGGCCAGAACAGCCUCCAAGACUAUGAAGGGAUGAAGACCAGAAUAGAUUCCAAGAUCAGAACCAGAAAUGAUGAAGACCAGAGCAGCCUCCAAGACUAUGAAGUGAUGAACACCAGAACAGACUCCAAGACCAGAACCAGAAAUGAUGAAGACCAGAGCAGCCUCCAAGACUAUGAAGUGAUGAACACCAGAACAGACUCCAAGACCAGAACCAGAAAUGAUGAAGACCAGAACAGCCUCAAAGACUAUGAGGUGAUGAAGACCAGACCAGAUUCCAAGACCAGAACCAGAAGUGCUGAAGACCAGAACAGCCUCCAAGACUAGAUGAAGGAAUGAAGACCAGAACAACCUCCAACACAAGAUGAA
Long non-coding RNA from Gasterosteus aculeatus aculeatus (three-spined stickleback), 1257 nucleotides. The record is from Ensembl. NCBI's taxonomy places the organism in Eukaryota, Metazoa, Chordata, Actinopteri, Perciformes, Gasterosteidae.